RNAcentral lists this ribosomal RNA (170 nucleotides) under uncultured bacterium. RNAcentral's name for it is "partial 16S rRNA". It matches the Rfam family "Bacterial small subunit ribosomal RNA", at positions 338 to 525 of the family's 1533-position model. The record is from RNAcentral.
CCUACGGGAGGCAGCAGUGGGGAAUAUUGCACAAUGGGCGAAAGCCUGAUGCAGCAACGCCGCGUGAGCGAUGAAGGCCUUCGGGUCGUAAAGCUCUGUCCUAUGGGAAGAUAAUGACGGUACCAUAGGAGGAAGCCCCGGCUAACUACGUGCCAGCAGCCGCGGUAAUA